Molecule: ribosomal RNA, 440 nt
Filed under: uncultured bacterium
Lineage: Bacteria
Description: partial 16S ribosomal RNA
Rfam family: Bacterial small subunit ribosomal RNA
Source: RNAcentral
CCUACGGGCGGCAGCAGUAGGGAAUAUUGCUCAAUGGGGGAAACCCUGAAGCAGCAACGCCGCGUGGAGGAUGAAGGUUUUCGGAUUGUAAACUCCUUUUGUUAGAGAAGAUAAUGACGGUAUCUAACGAAUAAGCACCGGCUAACUCCGUGCCAGCAGCCGCGGUAAUACGGAGGGUGCAAGCGUUACUCGGAAUCACUGGGCGUAAAGAGCGCGUAGGCGGGAUAGCAAGUCAGAUGUGAAAUCCUAUGGCUUAACCAUAGAACUGCAUUUGAAACUGUUAUUCUAGAGUAUGGGAGAGGUAGGUGGAAUGCUUGGUGUAGGGGUAAAAUGCGUAGAGAUCAAGAGGAAUACUCAUUGCGAAGGCGACCUGCUAGAACAUAACUGACGCUGAUGCGCGAAAGCGUGGGGAGCAAACAGGAUUAGAUACCCCGGUAGUC